CCGUCGGGCUGCCUGGACCUAGAUUUUUAAACAAAAGAUUAUGUCCUACGGAAGUUACUGCUGCGUGGUCUGGUGUGCCAACAAUGGGAAAACAAAGAAGCCACAUGUCAAGUUUUUUCGAAUUCCACGUGACCCAAGGUCAAAAGCAUGGCUACAGUACGCCAGACGUCCUGAGCUCCUAGGAAAGACAGCCAAGGAGCUCUAUGAGGGGUAUCGCCU
Molecule: long non-coding RNA, 219 nt
Organism: Ixodes scapularis (black-legged tick)
Lineage: Eukaryota; Metazoa; Arthropoda; Arachnida; Ixodida; Ixodidae
Exons: 3
Source: RefSeq, a predicted model, not a curated record